RNAcentral lists this long non-coding RNA (6357 nucleotides) under Setaria italica (foxtail millet). RNAcentral's name for it is "long non-coding RNA (SITA_LNC005007)". Lineage: Eukaryota; Viridiplantae; Streptophyta; Magnoliopsida; Poales; Poaceae. The record is from RNAcentral.
GAAGCAGCUCUUUAUACCCUGUUACCACCAAUUUCUUAACCUACUAGGAUCUAUCUCUAAUUUUAAACGAUAACAAAUAUUUACAAACACAACUCAUAUCGGAGUUGGUUACUUUCUCCCCACGAACCAAUCUCCUUUUUUCAGCUAAUCUUUAUCUUGGCCCACCUCAGGCCCAUACCGGCCAAACCAUCCCAACUCCCAAUCGGCCAGCCUCUAUCAACUCCCUUUGCCAGUCGGUCGAAACACUAUAGCCUUAAUCGGUCGAUUCCCAAUUGUAGCUUCUAGCUGCUGCACUAGCUGCCUUUCUUCUCCUUUGACGCCGAUUCCAAACACAUGUCAAAAUCCAGCGUAAACACAUGCCCCCCAAUUUUGGAGUGAAACACAACUUUUGCUCCUAAACUUUUCAACUUUAACUCCUUACCCGAAGAAAACGCAACAGUAAGCGCGGCGAAAGCUCCUUUUCGCUCCGCAGUCCCCCUAUGAUGAUUGUGAUUUUUUUAAUGAAGUCCUUGCAAGUAACCACCUAUGUCAGAACCGCCCAAAUGAAUCUGACUAAAAUGCACUUAAGUCGCCUGACACGCGAUCAUGCACUUUAACCAAGCCAACUUGGUCGUCUGUCAGAUUUCAUCCGACAAACCACUUACUCAGGAUCGAGAAGCACUGCUCACACGAAGGUGAGUGGGUACAGAGAUUUCAACAUUCCCAUCACAUUAACAUAGUUCAAUAUUUUAUUACAUCAGAGUUUUUGAAAUUCAAAAAAAAUUUGCAAGGUUUCAAACAACGAAGAAGUAACACUAGCGGAAGAUAAACGUCGAUACACAAUAUCAUGACGAAGCCGAUCAUGACAUCAAUGACCCCUGUCCUCGCCGAUCGAGGAUGGGUCCCAAACAAGACAACACCAGCAACCACACCUGAAAAAGAAGCCACAAGCAAGGCUGAGUAUACUAAUACUCAACAAGGCUUACCCGUCAGGUGGUAACUACUCCACCAACUCCUAGACAUGCAAGACUUUUUUUUUGGCGGUGGGUUUGUUUUUGCCAAAAGCGACUAAAGUUGGUCCUUACUUUCAAUAUUUUAGCUCAAGUUCUAAGUUCAUUAACCAGUCUAGAUUAGCAACUUAUACUAAGCAAACAUAGAUUCCAAACAAUUAAAGAACAAGCAUCAAGAUUAAUAGGAGUAUGUCGUUACACUACCAUUGCAGCAAGGGCACGAAAUCAGGACAUAGAUCAAACAGAGAACUCGCAUAUCUCCAUAUGCACACAUCCCGAAUCCAAAACUAAGCAGCUAAGGCUCUUGAUACCACUGUUGGGAUACGAGGUAGGCUACGCUAGCGCAAAUCAAAAUUUUCUACCGCGUAUAACCAGGAAGAACUGCCGUAUAAGGAUCACGGGAUUACCACUCGACGCACUACUGGUGCGGAAGAUGUAGAUAUGCGUCGGUGCAGUGAAGACGAUCACGUAGUCGUACGUAGUCGAUCACGUCCAGCAGCUCCUCAGCAGCUCGUCAACGUGCACAGCAAGAUCGCCUUCGGUACCGCGGCUCGUCGUCGGCUCGUCGUGGCUCGUCGGCGGCUCGUCGAUGGCUCGUCCAAGUGCUGCAGGCGCAACACCUCCAAGGUAUCCACACGUGCAGGGAGGAAGCGUCGCAAGCCGGACUGCUAGAUCCGCGAGUUGCAACAGGCGAGGGCGUGGGAGGCGCGGCAAGUGUGUUCAGCCAAAAGGUGUGAACCCUAGGGCGCCCCCACCCCUCUAUUUAUAGGGGUUCCUGACGGGCCUCUGGAUCCGAGGCCCAUUAGUACUCCUAAACCUAAUCCAACUCGGAUCAGAUCCGAAUUGGGCUUCCAGCCCCUUAAGUGUGUGACCCUAUGGGUUCGAAUACGUAUAGACAUGGCCCGAGUACUCCUACUCGGCCCAAUAGUCGGUAGCGGCCUCUAGCAAGACGUGCCAACUCCUAUACGCAUACGAAGAUCAUAUCAGACGAACCAUCACAACAUAAUAUACAUGCUAUUCCCUUUGCCUCACGAUAUUUGGUCUAGCUUCAAGCCGACCGCUCUUUCUCGAUCCUGUGAUUCGGAAUCCCUUUGUAGGUUAACUCUUAACCGUACGUAGCAUGGCCAUGCAUUUUCGGAUCCGAUCACUCGAGGGGCCCAGAGAUAUCACUCUCAAUCAGAGAGGGGCAAAUCCCAUCUUGAUUGACCAUGUCUCAUAGCAUGCUUCUUGACAAACCCGAAAGCUACCUUUAUAACUACCCUGUUACGGCGUAGCGUUUGAUAGCCCCUAAGUAGGUCGAUCCACAUCUAGAAUACAUGCGACAAUCUCAGGUCUAAGGACAAAGCGUAUAUGUUGUUUAAAGAGAGAACUACUUCUCGCGUUGGGUCAGUCCUAACACAUGUCUCCACAUGUGUCCACAUUAUUAGUUCAACAUCUCCAUGUCCAUGACUUGUGAAACAUAGGCAUCAACUAAUACAUGUGCUAGUCUAAUAUUCAUGUGUGUCCUCACAUGAACUCCGACUAGGGACAACUUUAGAAUAACCAUACAAGUAAAGAGUUUCACAUACAAUUCACAUAAUUGCAAAUCAAUUCAAGUAGCCUUUAAUGGAUAUUCAAUGAACACAGUAUACAAAUCAUGGAUACAAAUGGAAUAUCAUCAUCUCUAUGAUUGCCUCUAGGGCAUACCUCCAACACGCUUCACUUGUCAGCCAUCCCUAUCGAUCCCCAGGCACGUGUCAGGGCCAAACUUCCCUUGGCAUGCAAUGCUCCACAGUCCCGACCUCAUGCCGUACUGUGACCGCACUUGCACCCACAUGAUGCACCAUGGGAACCUCAUUCCAGGGACAACAGGAGUAUAAGCCACGCCCCAGUUCAAUCAGGUGCUAGUCUUCCCCAUCCCAUACUAGGUAUGGGAUUAGUACUUUCAAACACUUGAUCACGAACGCCGACACGUUUUGACCUUAGUCCAUUUUCAUUUAGAUAGAUGGGGCAAUCCACGGACCACCAAAAUAGUUCCCAAGGCCCUGCCCCGCCCGUCGUCCUUAUGGUUGUAACAUAAGUAAACAAAAAACUCCUAUAACUUGCGAGUGAUAGGAAAUCACUCGACUUUUACAUGUCCUAUUAAGCAUUGCAUCUACACGACUUAUCAUGCUAGUGUUCAGAUCAAAAGGGUACUAAGUUCAUGCAUCUAAGGUGUCAUUCAACUCCUAUAAACGUAAAUGCACAAUCAUAAGCAUCAACAUAUUGCAUAACUUUAAAAUAGGGAAGCAUGCACCGGGGCUUGCCUGGAAUCCACACUAGGUUAGUGUUUGUUAGAUGACACUCGCUUGGCGAGCAUCUCCCAUCUCGGCACUUGUUUAGUUCUUCCAUCUUCGAGAUAGCUCCACCAUACACCGUCUUCGGGUUCGGUUCCAUCAUCACGUCCUUCACGUGGUUUAUCUAGCGUAUCUAGAUGAGAUGCAAGAUGCAAGAGCAUGAAUACGAAGAACGGUGAAAAGAGAUGCAUUACACAAAAGCAUUUAAGGCAAACAUAAGAUCAUGCAAGACAUAGGCACCUAGAGUCAUUUAACUGUACACCACACAACCUAUUAUAGAAGGAUAGCAAGUACAUUAGGCAUGGCACACAAGUGAACUUAUGUUAAGCUAUUGCAAGCAAUAACAAUCAAGAGCUAAUUAAGCAUAGCAUCACACAAGAACUAGGGUGAUGGUGCUUAUCAACAUGGCAUACAGAAGUGCAUCACAAAACCAACAAGUUGAAGGUGAUCAAAGUAUAUUACAUUUGUUUUAAACCACUCAUGCACAAGCAAGUCACACACCAACAUCACUAAGGUUCUAGCAAGCUAUUUAGCAAGGUUAUUUUGUAGCAACAUGCAUACAUGACCAUUUAUUAGUUAAGUGCUUGACCAACAUUAUAUAACAUAUUUAUAAGAUUCUCAGGUAGAUCAAGUUAACUCUAAUAGUGAUAUGAGCUAACUAGCCAGCACACAAGGCAACAUCAAGUUAAAGCUAAUAACUUAAGCACAUACACCGAAUCUGGACAGCAGCACAACAGUCAUUUGUUUGAGCUAUAACUAGAGAUAUAAGCAUACAACAAAGGUGACCCUAGAAUUUCUGUAAAGUUAAACAAAUUAUCUAAAACUUUGUUAUUAACACCAAAAGCUGAUUCAACAAAUAAGAAGGUGAGAACACACCAUUAGGCAGAUCUAUACAAACAAAGAUAGAAAACUGACAUGCAACUUUAGACAACAAUAAGUUGAGUUCUAGUUUUUACAACAAGGUAGUUCUAGACUUUUUAGAAAGGUUAACAAACCAUGCAAAACUUUGUUAUAAACACCAGAAGCUAAAACAAAAGUUAACCAGGUCAAACAUCACAAAGAAGACAUCUCUAUCCAGAUUAGGACAAAUUCUGUUAUUCCACUUCACAAGCUCAUAACUGGAGAUUUAGACCACCAAAAGGGAUGAUCUUUAACAUUUUGGAAAGCUCAUGAAAAACCUACACUUCUUAUAUUAUCUCCAAGAUAUGAUUCAAAGCUUAGCUAAGUCAAACAACACAAUCAUUCAGACCUAUAUAUAGAGCACGCAAAACAUCAUUUGCAUCACGAAAACAUUGCCACAACAGAACUACUCUAGCAGCCAUUUCAGCACACAUACAACAAGGUUCUUCAUUUAGUUCUUUAACAAGGUAACAUAUGCAUAAGUUAAACACAUAGCUCACAAAUACCAAGAACAUAGUUAAUUAGCAUUAGCUUUAGGUAACAUGGAACACCCUUAACACCUUAAGCAAGAAUUAAAGUAAAGGCGAAGAACUUAUAUAAGUAGUUGUUAUAUUAACAUGAGAGCACACAUAUGAGUUAUAUUCAAAGCUUAACCACUACUUAUCAUAACUUAACAUCAUAUGUACCCCUCAAAAAUAAAUAUUAAAAGCCUCACAUGACCCAAAUACAUGCAUCUACUAGCAAACUUUCAUUGUCCAAUUAUAUAGUAAACAUAUAUAUUAAUUAUAGGUGAUGUGGCAUACAUCUCAUUUGGAGCUGAUAUUUGUAUGGAUGAUAAAUGUUAUCAAAACAUGGCUACUGUACAAAUUUCACAUGCUUAGGUUUUAUAAUUUAAUUGCUACGAAAAAGACAAAUUGCUCUUGCAAGAAAGCAUGUAAAAGCAAGAUAAAUCUAAAGAUCAUUGUUUUCUAUAAACACAUAGCCAUAUAAUAUGUUAUUAUGGUAGAACAACAUCAUACAAAUGUAGUGGAACCACAUUUCCCAUUUUUACACCUACAUAAAAGUUAUAACUUAUUUAAAACCAUUUACGAAGCAAUAAACAAGUUAAAUCAAUAAGUCAAUCAUACUGCAUUCAAUGAAUAUGAAAGUUUUACCACAUCACAAGAGCAUCAUUUAUAGCCUACCUUAAAAAUUGCACAGAAAGUGGAGCACCGCAACUUUAAAUAUGAAAAUGACAAGCAAAACAAGCUAAAAAUUUGCGUAUUUCUCAAGAUUAAAUCAAAACAUGAUAAAAACAGUACCCAACUAGCAUGUUCAAUAUUUUUAUUAGCUAGAGAGUGUCAUCACAAGACUAACACAACUAGAAUCACAACUUUUGGACUUCUAUAACUCAACAUAUGCAUCUAACCAACUUAAAAGGAUUUCUAAAAACACUUUGCAAGGAUAAAUAAAAAUAUCAGAAACUUUCUACUAACACAUAUCAUAUUAUAACUCUAAUGUGUAAAUAUACUCACAAAGAUUCCAAAACAUCCUCAUUUGCUAUUUUAUGAUGUUUAUGCAAUUUAGUAUGAAUUUUUAAAGUUUCAGCCUUUUUAGAUCUAAAAAAUAAACAAAAUCGAGAUGAUCUUACGAUCUACCCCCUGGGUCUACGGUUUAAUUGUGCAAAACUCCUUGGAACUUCCCCAUAACCCCCUACACUUCCUUCUUCUUCUCCAAAGAGGCCCCCCACGCACAAACAACACACAACACAGGCACGCACGCAUUGGACAGGCACGACCGGCCAUGGACUUGGGGCCGAAGGUGGGGGAAAAAGAAGGGGCAGCUUGGGGAGGGAGAGGGGCAGCACACGGAGCCCAGGAGGCUCACCAGAAGGGAGUCAGGCGCUUGGAGGAGGGCGGCGCACAGGGAGGAACGACACAGGAAGGGGGCGGCGGAGGAGCUCCCGUGGAGGGCAACGUCCGGUGAGGGAGGGAGCUCGGGAAGUAGCAAAAUGGAAUCGCGAAGUCGAGGAGGCACCGUGGCUGCAAGGAAUUGGCUGGAGAUGCACCAACCGCGGCAGAUUUCGCCGGUGAAAUUUGGGGAAACUGGAGCUCGGGUUCCUGUUAAUGGUGGAGGAGGAAGGGGAGGGUUGAGGGCUUUAUAUAGGAGGGGAG